Molecule: ribosomal RNA, 254 nt
Filed under: uncultured Pseudomonas sp.
Lineage: Bacteria; Pseudomonadati; Pseudomonadota; Gammaproteobacteria; Pseudomonadales; Pseudomonadaceae
Description: partial 16S ribosomal RNA
Rfam family: Bacterial small subunit ribosomal RNA
Source: RNAcentral
UGGGCACUCUAAGGAGACUGCCGGUGAACAAACCGGAGGAAGGUGGGGAUGACGUCAAGUCAUCAUCGGCCCUUACGGCCUGGGCUACACACGUGCUAACAAUGGUCGGUACAAAGGGUUGCCAAGCCGCGAGGUGGAGCUAAUCCCAUAAAACCGAUCGUAGUCCGGAUCGCAGUCUGCAACUCGACUGCGUGAAGUCGGAAUCGCUAGUAAUCGUGAAUCAGAAUGUCACGGUGAAUACGUUCCCGGGCCUU